RNAcentral lists this ribosomal RNA (728 nucleotides) under uncultured Planctomycetota bacterium. RNAcentral describes it as "bacterial SSU rRNA". It matches the Rfam family "Bacterial small subunit ribosomal RNA", at positions 558 to 1278 of the family's 1533-position model. Lineage: Bacteria; Pseudomonadati; Planctomycetota. The record is from RNAcentral.
GCUUGAGCACGUAGGUGGGUUUGUAAGUCAGAUGUGAAAGCCUUCUGUUCAACGGAAGAAUUGCAUCUGAAACUGCGAGUCUUGAGUGUAGGAGGGGAGAAUGGAACUUCUGGUGGAGCGGUGAAAUGCGUAGAUAUCAGAAGGAACGCCGGCGGCGAAAACGAUUCUCUGGCCUAUUACUGACACUCAGUGUGCGAAAGCUAGGGGAGCAAACGGGAUUAGAUACCCCGGUAGUCCUAGCCGUAAACGAUGGGCACUAAGUAGAGGGAAUUACCGAUGUUCUCUCUGCCGUAGCUAACGCAUUAAGUGCCCCGCCUGGGGAGUACGGCCGCAAGGCUAAAACUCAAAAGAAUUGACGGGGGCUCGCACAAGCGGUGGAGCAUGUGGCUUAAUUCGAUGCAACGCGAAAAACCUUACCGGGGCUUGACAUGGUAGAAGUAGGAACCCGGAAGGGUAACGAACGGUAUCCAGUCCGUAGCUAUUACAGGUGUUGCAUGGCUGUCGUCAGCUCGUGUCGUGAGACGUUGGGUUAAGUCCCCUAACGAGCGAAACCCUUAUUUUUAGUUACCAGCGGGUUAUGCCGGGUACUCUAGAAAGACUGCCGUCGUCAAGACGGAGGAAGGUGGGGAUGACGUCAAGUCAUCAUGGCCCUUAUGCCCCGGGCUGCACACGUGCUACAAUGGUCGGUACAAACGGAUGCGAAGCCGAGAGGUGAAGCGAAUCCAAGC